AUUGUAACUUGCAUAUUUAUUUAGUUGAGUUUAAUCUAAGUUUAUAUCUGAUGUGUUUGUAUUAUUUUAGAAUUUACUGUUUUAGACACGUGGCAUGUGGUAUCCCACUAUUACAACUAAGUUUGUGUAUGGCUUGUUUAUAUUAUUUCAGAAUUUGCUAUUUUAGACACUUGGUAUAAGCUGUCAUACUACACGUGGCAUGUGGUAUCCCACUAAUUAGCUAUUUUAAACAUGUGACAAGUGGUAUGACACUGUAUUGAUGUAUGUGAAAUGUAUAGAGUCUUUCAGUUAUCAGAUAAUAUCAAGGAGUUGACAGCAUGGUGUCCGAUUUAAAGUGCGAACCUGUGUACGAGUAACAACAGUAUU
Non-coding RNA from Hydra vulgaris (swiftwater hydra), 366 nucleotides. The record is from RefSeq and is a predicted model, not a curated record. NCBI's taxonomy places the organism in Eukaryota, Metazoa, Cnidaria, Hydrozoa, Anthoathecata, Hydridae.